UACGGAGGGUGCGAGCGUUGUCCGGAAUCACUGGGCGUAAAGGGCGCGUAGGUGGCUACUUAAGCGUGUGGUGAAAGUCCGGGGCUCAACCCCGGAUCGGCCGUGCGAACUGAGUGGCUUGAGCACUGUAGAGGCAGGUGGAAUUCCGGGUGUAGCGGUGGAAUGCGUAGAGAUCCGGAAGAACACCGGUGGCGAAGGCGGCCUGCUGGGCAGUGGCUGACACUGAGGCGCGACAGCGUGGGGAGCAAACAGGAUUAGAAACCCCCGUAGUCC
RNAcentral lists this ribosomal RNA (273 nucleotides) under uncultured bacterium. RNAcentral's name for it is "partial 16S ribosomal RNA". It matches the Rfam family "Bacterial small subunit ribosomal RNA", at positions 524 to 796 of the family's 1533-position model. The record is from RNAcentral.